ACUGGAAUGUAAUGGUUGGCCACUUCGGAUUUCGGAGGAUUUUGAAGCUCAAAUUUGCUCAAAGAAAGCAGGAAAAAACAGGAAAUAAUCUGAUUGAUAGAGGUGGACACACAAAUUCUGAAUCCGAGGAUUAAGACACGCACAAAAGACAAAAAGCUUGGCAAGAAGUGUCUUGAAGAGGUCAUGAAAGAAUUUCAUCUUGCAAGAGCAUACUUAUGUUUAACUGCUAAUCUCAUGCAGAUGUUGGAGCACCUAUAAUCUUUCUUCUUGUGUCUUUCUAGCAACCUACCUAUGUAACUUUGUUCCACAAACUAUGUUUCUGUUUUGCCUUUCCUGCAAACUACUCCUGUAACUUUGUUCCACAAAUGAAUGUAAUAUAUUAUGAAGCAUGUCAUGUUAAUAUUUAGUUU
This is a long non-coding RNA of Lycium ferocissimum, 410 nucleotides long. RefSeq lists it as uncharacterized. NCBI's taxonomy places the organism in Eukaryota, Viridiplantae, Streptophyta, Magnoliopsida, Solanales, Solanaceae. The record is from RefSeq and is a predicted model, not a curated record. The transcript is spliced from 3 exons.